CCUACGGGGGGCAGCAGUGAGGAAUAUUGGUCAAUGGGCGCGAGCCUGAACCAGCCAAGUCGCGUGAGGGAUGAAGGCCCUAUGGAUCGUAAACCUCUUUUAUAAGGGAAUAAAGUGUGGGACGUGUCCUCUUUUGUAUGUACCCUAUGAAAAAGGAUCGGCUAACUCCGUGCCAGCAGCCGCGGUAAUACGGAGGAUCCGAGCGUUAUCCGGAUUUAUUGGGUUUAAAGGGUGCGUAGGCGGCCUUUUAAGUCAGCGGUGAAAGUUUGUGGCUCAACCAUGGAGUUGCCGUUGAAACUGGGGGGCUUGAGUAUGUUUGAGGCAGGCGGAAUGCGUGGUGUAGCGGUGAAAUGCUUAGAUAUCACGCAGAACCCCGAUUGCGAAGGCAGCCGGCCAAGCCAUGACUGACGCUGAUGCACGAAAGCGUGGGGAUCGAACAGGAUUAGAUACCCGAGUAGUC
This 460-nucleotide ribosomal RNA is filed under the name uncultured bacterium. RNAcentral's name for it is "partial 16S ribosomal RNA". It matches the Rfam family "Bacterial small subunit ribosomal RNA", at positions 338 to 795 of the family's 1533-position model. The record is from RNAcentral.